RNAcentral lists this ribosomal RNA (688 nucleotides) under uncultured bacterium. RNAcentral's name for it is "bacterial SSU rRNA". It matches the Rfam family "Bacterial small subunit ribosomal RNA", at positions 820 to 1500 of the family's 1533-position model. The record is from RNAcentral.
UUGUUGGGGGUUUGACACUUCUCAGUAACCGAAGCUAACGCGUGAAGUNGACCGCCUGGGGAGUACGGCCGCCAAGGUUAAAACUCAAAGGAAUUGANCGGGGACCCCGCACCAANCGGUGGAUUAUGUGGAUUAAUUCGAUGCAACGCGAAAAACCUUACCUACCCUUGACAUGUCCGAGAGCCCGCAGAGAUGUGGGUGUGCCCGAAAGGGAAUCGGAACACAGGUGCUGCAUGGCUGUCGUCAGCUCGUGUCGUGAGAUGUUGGGUUAAGUCCCGCAACGAGCGCAACCCUUGUCAUUAGUUGCUACAUUCAGUUGGGCACUCUAAUGAGACUGCCGGUGACAAACCGGAGGAAGGUGGGGAUGACGUCAAGUCCUCAUGGCCCUUAUGGGUAGGGCUUCACACGUAAUACAAUGGCGCGUACAGAGGGUUGCCAAGGAGCGAUCUGGAGCCAAUCCCGAAAAGCGCGUCGUAGUCCGGAUUGCAGUCUGCAACUCGACUGCAUGAAGUCGGAAUCGCUAGUAAUCGCGGAUCAGCAUGUCGCGGUGAAUACGUUCCCGGGUCUUGUACACACCGCCCGUCACACCAUGGGAGUGGGUUUCACCAGAAGCCGGUCGCCUAACCGCAAGGAGGGCGCCGACCACGGUGAGAUUCAUGACCUGGGGUGAAGUCGUAANCAAGGUACC